CCGUAGCGAUUGGCAGGGUUACUUCUUUGCUAGAGACGGGGUCGCAGGUUCGAGUCCUGCUCUACGGG
RNAcentral lists this transfer RNA (68 nucleotides) under Paramuribaculum sp. RNAcentral describes it as "tRNA-OTHER". Lineage: Bacteria; Pseudomonadati; Bacteroidota; Bacteroidia; Bacteroidales; Muribaculaceae. The record is from RNAcentral.